UUAUUUCAUUCUCAAAUUCCCAAACUAUUCGAUCUCUCUUUCUCCAUUCCAUCUGAAGCAUAGGGUUGAUUUGAAGCUUCCUUCCAUGGCUACGUUGGAUUUGAUCUGAAGCACACAGCAAAAGAUUCCAGAGUACCCUGACACUGAAAGAGAUUGCACAGUACCCUGACACUGAAAGAGAGUACCCUGGCACUUGUCUCAAGCUUACGUUAUUUGUUUACAUGAUUGUUUUAAUGUAUUAUCUUAAAGUUGCUUUUGAUACUAUUGUAGUGAGCUGUGGAAAUCUCCCUUCUUUAACACUAUCACAGGUAUACUGAAAACCUCCCUUCUUUUUGCAUAUGUUAUAGGCCAUGUUUCUAGGAGGAAGAACAUUGGGAUUAUGUCAGUGGUAUACACAUUCAAAUGGCGAGAUCCUUCAAGGAAGGAAUGACACACUGAUCCAAAAAGCUGGAACAUUUUCCAUGAGGGAAAAAAAUAGUGGCUUAAUUGCCUUAUUUUCUCCAUUGUUGAACAUAUUUUAUCUAUUUUGAUAAUUCAUAGUUUCUUUUAUCUCUACGAGAUAAGAAAGUGAAUGGAUUAAGAUUGUUUGUUCUUAUUUUAAGUGAAUGACAUUGUUUUGAGUUUGGUAAUUCUUCUUUAUUACGUUCGAACUUAUUUUUCUUGUAAAUUUU
Solanum stenotomum is the source of this 671-nucleotide long non-coding RNA. RefSeq lists it as uncharacterized. The transcript is spliced from 3 exons. The record is from RefSeq and is a predicted model, not a curated record. NCBI's taxonomy places the organism in Eukaryota, Viridiplantae, Streptophyta, Magnoliopsida, Solanales, Solanaceae.